UUGGAGCGGGUGUAAAUGAGCUACAUGAUGUUUGGAAAGCAUGUUAGCUCUAAUUUCAACCUGGCCCCACCACCUGAUUGGAUUACCUCAAAACUAGUAAUGUAUUGUAUGGUUUUGAGCUACAUCAUCAGAUAUUGUCUAAAUCUGAGUCCUGUAGCUGUCACAGUUGAUGAGCUUAUGCCUACUCCCCUAAAAUCCCUUCGUGGGAAAAAUGCAAUUAGAGUUGCAUUAGGUGCAUUAACUGGAGUGGUGUUGUUCAGCAAAGCCAUCUAUUUCUUUGAUUAUUCCUGCUGGCUGUUACAAAUCUAUCAUCACAGGAGAUAAUCUAUCAUGGCCACAGAAAACGACUGCAAAUGUUGCUAUCUUUCUUGGGGUGACGGGAGCAAUAUGUGCAUUCGUUAGCGAUGUUGAACCUGUUUUAAUUGCAAAAAGUUUAGUUGAGGUAUGUAUACAUGUUAGAUAAGCUUAAGAAGUGAUAGAAUAUUUGAUAAAUUCCCACCAGUAUAGUUUUCACUUUUCCAAAAACCAGUUUAUUUCUAUGUGUUAAGAGCAUCCUUCAGUCAAGGGAUUAUUGCUUCAAUAAACAAAUAAAGAACCAUAUUUUACAAAGUGAACUUGUUUCUGAAACUUACUCCUUACAGAUUAAUAACCCUAACUUACUGAGGUUGGAUUUUGAUUGCAGCAAAUGGUUACGAAUUGAAGGUGUUUUGGCUAUGUCUCGAGCUAUAGCUUAUAUCAUAAGUUGUAAUGGCGGUUUUAUAGUUGUUUUGCAGGGGUAACUGUUUCACUGUUUCGUAAAAAUGAAAAAGGUGAUCUCUUCUUAGCUAUUCUACUGAAACUCAAGGUAAUGGAAAUGUGAUAAUCUACAGAAACUCAAUUUAACAGAACUCUUAUGUGUAUGUGGGUUGUUCGUGUUUUUGUGCUUAUUAAACCUGUAUGUAAAAAACUUGGUAUUUUUUGGGGAUCAUCGUAGUAUGUUAUUAGGAGUGUGUUUUCUUUUACCAAUGUAAUGCACGACUAUUUUGUCUAAAAGAGCAUAUUGGAACCUUAUGUUAUAUGCUUUGUAGCCUUCAAUCUCCAUAGUUACUUGAUGAAUGACUUGGUUCUCUCAUGUCGUGCUUCUCGUGUGAACACGUCUAGUAUUGGAGUAUAAUUCUUAAAGUCAAUGUAAGCAAUAGCCU
Molecule: long non-coding RNA, 1181 nt
Organism: Erigeron canadensis
Lineage: Eukaryota; Viridiplantae; Streptophyta; Magnoliopsida; Asterales; Asteraceae
Exons: 4
Source: RefSeq, a predicted model, not a curated record